UACGUAGGGCGCAAGCGUUAUCCGGAAUUAUUGGGCGUAAAGAGCUUGUAGGCGGUCUGUCGCGUCUGCUGUGAAAAUCCGGGGCUCAACCCCGGACUUGCAGUGGGUACGGGCAGACUAGAGUGUGGUAGGGGAGACUGGAAUUCCUGGUGUAGCGGUGAAAUGCGCAGAUAUCAGGAGGAACACCGAUGGCGAAGGCGGGUCUCUGGGCCGAUACUGACGCUGAGGAGCGAAAGCGUGGGGAGCAAACAGG
RNAcentral lists this ribosomal RNA (253 nucleotides) under uncultured bacterium. RNAcentral describes it as "partial 16S ribosomal RNA". It matches the Rfam family "Bacterial small subunit ribosomal RNA", at positions 524 to 776 of the family's 1533-position model. The record is from RNAcentral.